AAGAGGAAUAAACCAAAGUUAUACUUUUCCAAACAAGAAGAUAUUUUUCAAUUUUCUCUUUCUUCAAUCCCUCUUUUCUCGCACCCCUAACGCUGCCGGAGACUUGCAACCUCACUGGUCUUAACCGUCGCUGCUUCGUCGGAUUCCGUAUGGGAGAAGAAGCUACCUGCGAAUUAUCAGGAUCCGCUUGAUUUGUUGUCGUCUUAAUCUCUCAUGGUUUUGGACUUUUUCAUAUAUUCACUUUGAAUUUAAUUGGAUUUGGGGGUUAGGGUAAGAAGAAGAGGAAUCUCCGGUUUGUUUGGUGGUGUAGGAUUUAAGCUUCUCUUCUUCUGAGUUUUCACUGAUAAACAGUCUCAAGUUCAGGGAAGAAGAUGAAGAUGAAAACUCCGACCAAAGUCAAUACCUUUGGGUUUAAUAGCAUCAGAACAGAGACUUCAGAAGUGGAGUUGUUGAAAGAGAGGAUGGCGAAACUACUGCGUUGUGAAGAUAUAUCAGGUUCUGGUGAAGGAGUUUCUCCAGCUCAUUCCGUGAAGAUGGAGAUAAAUGGUGGCUUCCUCUGCCACGUGUGCCAUCUGAUGGACUCUCUGAGCAGUCUAGGAAGAAGCUAGACCACACUCGUGAUUUCACUAACCAAAUCUUGAAAGCGUGUGUGUCAAUCAACAGAAUUGCUUUAGCUGAAAUGGAAGUUCCACAAGCAUACCUUGAAGCUCUUCCAAAAAGUAUAAUAAAAUUGUUUUGUCUAAUAGAACAGGAGACCAUGUCUUGGAGUUUUCCUUUAUAUAAACAUCAUGUCUGAUAACUUCUCAGCAGAUUACUUUCUAAGUCAGUAGAUCUUUCAUCUGAACAUGCUAUUGCGGAGAUGGCAAAUAGAGUAGAAGCAUCAAUGAACAUUUGGAGGAGAAGAGCUCAUUUAUUCAUUUGAUUUCAAUGUAAUAAUGUACAUUUUUUUUUGAAUGAAUGCUAAAUUUUAUUCAUAAAAAAUCUUUGUACAUCAAGUGCUUCAUGAGUUUAAACCUUCUACUUUUCGUCUA
Brassica napus (rape) is the source of this 1031-nucleotide long non-coding RNA. RefSeq lists it as uncharacterized. The record is from RefSeq and is a predicted model, not a curated record. Lineage: Eukaryota; Viridiplantae; Streptophyta; Magnoliopsida; Brassicales; Brassicaceae. The transcript is spliced from 3 exons.